RNAcentral lists this ribosomal RNA (460 nucleotides) under uncultured bacterium. Its description in RNAcentral is "partial 16S ribosomal RNA". It matches the Rfam family "Bacterial small subunit ribosomal RNA", at positions 338 to 795 of the family's 1533-position model. The record is from RNAcentral.
CCUACGGGUGGCAGCAGUGAGGAAUAUUGGUCAAUGGACGAGAGCCUGAACCAGCCAAGUAGCGUGAAGGAUGACUGCCCUAUGGGUUGUAAACUUCUUUUAUAUGGGAAUAAAAUGUUCCACGUGUGGGAUUUUGUAUGUACCAUAUGAAUAAGGAUCGGCUAACUCCGUGCCAGCAGCCGCGGUAAUACGGAGGAUCCGAGCGUUAUCCGGAUUUAUUGGGUUUAAAGGGAGCGUAGGUGGAUUGUUAAGUCAGUUGUGAAAGUUUGCGGCUCAACCGUAAAAUUGCAGUUGAAACUGGCAGUCUUGAGUACAGGAGAGGUAAGCGGAAUUCGUGGUGUAGCGGUGAAAUGCUUAGAUAUCACGAAGAACUCCGAUUGCGAAGGCAGCUCACUGGACUGCAACUGACGCUGAGGCUCGAAAGUGUGGGUAUCAAACAGGAUUAGAUACCCCUGUAGUC